This is a long non-coding RNA of Papaver somniferum (opium poppy), 1718 nucleotides long. RefSeq lists it as uncharacterized. The transcript has 9 exons. The record is from RefSeq and is a predicted model, not a curated record. Lineage: Eukaryota; Viridiplantae; Streptophyta; Magnoliopsida; Ranunculales; Papaveraceae.
UUUGACGGCUACCUGACCUGCCAAGGAAGAGGAUUUUUGGGGGCUACCUGACCAGUCGUUUUCAUUCUCGUCACAACCCUAGCCUUGCAUAAUUCUUUGUGGAGAGGAUUGUUGAAGGGAAGUCUCGCAAGGAAGAGGAAGUUCAGAGAGAGUGAACCGCCUAAGGAAAUCGUAUUCACUACCCAUCCGACAAGAUGAGCAAAACGUGCUAUACACGCACGAGCAGCGGGAUCGGAGAAAAUCAAGAACAUGAUAAUAAGAGAUAUAAACAUAUCGCUCCUUCUGAUCCCAGUCAUAGAGCGGAACUCGUCCGAAGAAUGGAGAUAUUCAAAUCAUUUCCUGUAGGUUCUAAGGAAUUUCAGACUUUCGUCGUGGAACAAGCCGAAAGAUCAGAAGCUAAAGCAAAACAAAGAUUACAAAAAAAAAAAAAUGGAGAAGGCUGAAAUAACAAAGGAUGAAUGGGGGCAGAUAAACAAAGGAAGGGCCGAAUGGGCAAACAGGGAACGCCUACGAAAUGAAGCAUUACAUCAGUACUCGAAGCAAAACCCUGUUGUUGUGAAAUCUUUUGUAUCGGAUAUUGAAAAUCUCAAGGAGGGUGAAAGCCUUUAUGUUUUCUGUUUUGCUUAUGCAAAGAUUCAGAGUACCAAGUACAAGGAAUUUUUUGGGCUCUCUCGCCGACAAUUUCAGCAGAGUUUAUAUUGGAUGUAAUACAGAUCUGUCAAUGGCUUUGAUGUUGUCCGAAACAAGUGAACUCAAACCUGGCCUCCGUCGUAUUAGUAGUGUACAUAAUAUAUGCAGUGUAUCUUAAUGCAGUUUUGACAGCUCAUAAGUUUUAUUGCUGUAUCCCUAUUUGUUGGGGCCUUUUUACUUUCCAGGUGCUUAGUAGUAGGGAUGAUGUUGGUGUACUUGUAACUAACAAAACUGAAGAUCAAAUACUCAGGAAGGGGUGAGCAAGUUUCGUGCUUACGAAGAAUUUGAUUUUGCAAAGCCAGGCAACACACCUAGUGAAACGCUGACGUAUGCUGAAGGUGCUGUGCUGCGUUUACCUACAAACAUCAGUGCAGAAAAAUUGUUUCCCAUUUUACAGGAGCUAGAGAUGCCUGUUAAACUGACUAAUGACGGGCGGGUAAUUGAGAUGACUCAAGCUUAUACUGUUGUAAAGAAAAAAUGCGCGUGACAGAGAAUGCCUCUAAUAUUCUGAAACAUCUCAACAAGAAGAUGUUCAAUUAUACCGUUCUACCAGUUUGCCGCUGGGCUGUCUCCACUGAACAACCUGGAUAUCAUUAUGAAUAUUAUUAUGGUCGUGCUCCCCGACCUUCUAGAGGGUAAUUGGGGAUUUCUGCGUCGGUUUGGAGAUAAGUAGGCUGAUGGUUCAAACGAGGAUCAUGUCAAGGGUGAAGAAUAGUGACUGCCGAUUGGAGUAAGUUGGCCUACUACUGGUUUACAUUAAGGCUAAAUUAAGAACAAUUUUAGUUUUUUCUUGUUUAUUAUGACAUGACAUGGAAGAUAGAGUCUCAAGGUCGGGUCGGACGAUUUGAAAGCCGAGUCUUCGCAUUGUGGUCUAGUUCUUAGUGUUGUCCUUUCCUUAUAUUAUAAUAAGGAAAGUAUGUAAACACUCUCUCGUCUACAUUCGAGUCCCCAACGUUAUUCGACAUUGAGGUUGAUUAUGAUGAUGAUGUCCACAAUGUUCAGAUUAAAGUUAUUUGCAGGGUUUUUUU